AAGUAAGAAGCAAUAUAAUGCAUCUAGUUUCGGCCUAGAAGAAGGUAAUUACCCUUACUUA
Molecule: transfer RNA, 61 nt
Filed under: Xyloterini sp.
Lineage: Eukaryota; Metazoa; Arthropoda; Insecta; Coleoptera; Curculionidae
Description: tRNA-Arg
Source: RNAcentral